UUGAGAUAUACAGAUAAACGUUCCAGGUAUUGUUUUUAAUUGCUUUUACACCCCAUUUCCAAUUAUUAGUAGCCAAAAGUCACUUCCAUGCGCGAGGUGGUUUAACCACUGCUAAAAGCCACAGAUAAGGAAACUGCCUGUGAAUUGUGGCUGAUUCAGCAAGCACCUGAAGGGAAGGCAGACGCAGGCAGGAGCGGCGCCGGAGGUUACCUGGCUGCCUCGGUCCUUCAGGAGAAGUCACGACGAGGUCUCCCGACUGCCCCAGAAGACCCGUUCCCCCACCACAUAGCACCUGCUUCUUCAGGUCACUGCUGAGAAGCCCCAUUUUAAAGCCUGCAGAGUCGUUGACCUUCCUUAUCUCCCUGGACUUUUGCUCUCCUUGUCAUUUAUAUUCCUCACGCCCUGGUUUAACCGUCCUUCUCCCUCCCAGCCCCACGGGCUGUGCUGGUGCCAGAUGCUCUGCGGGCAGCCCGCAGCUCCCCGCCUGCCCCGGCGCUCCUCAAGCUCCCUGGCGGGCUUCACUUCUCAUGGCACCAUCCUGCUGCCGUGUUAUCACCUGCUGUUUGGUGGGCUUCCCUUCCCUAGGGAGGGGAUGGCAGCGCUAAGAGCCUGCUAAUCUCCUCAAUCUGCAAAAAGGGGGGUUGUUAAAGCGGGGUUCCCAAGUCCCCAGGCUCCAUUUACAUUUACACUCACCAAGGGCAUUUCACCCUUCUCAUCAGCAAUAUCUGGAGAGAACACACUCUCGAGAGCUGAGCAGGAAGAGGGGAAAAUAUUGAUGCAGGACAGCACCAGGUUCUUCCACGGUGCCUGCUCAGGGCUUCCAUGCAUUCACAACACAGAGCCCUCUGCGCUCAGACUUGUUAACCUACUGCAAUGGCUGUCUAGUGUUCGGGUGUCUUAUUUGGUUGGGGUGCCUUUAAACGAGACCUGUGGUUUCUCGGAGAAAAAACACACUAUUUUUCAUUUUCACCUGGUUCUUCGGUGUCCCCCUCUGCCACAGCACGUACAACCUCAGAGACAAAACUUAACACCAACAGCCCCGAUCAGAGAGAGGGGAAAAAAAAAAAAGUCUGGGAAGAAACAGGAGUUCGUUAGAGACAAUUUGGUCACGCAGAACUUUUUCAGGGAACAGAGAGACAACUGGGGUGGGGGAUUUUGUGCAGAAGGGUGCCCAUCCCCACCCCACUGCUGUUGAGUUUAAACCUCAGCCGUUUCCCUGCUUAAAACCCAUCCUAAGGCUAAACACCGCGGGUUUCCCCCUGUCCUUGCCUGGACCAGGCUGGCAUGAUGUUCCUUUUGAGCCCCGAAAUCCUGCUCCCAGCUGAACCCCCUUUCGCAUGCUCUCUCCCACCCCGAUGCAGCUCAGGAAAGGAAAUUCAGGGCUGGAUGUAGGCACAAGUGGGGAUGGGAUGGGGACGGGGAUGGGGUUGGGAUCGGGAUGGGAUGGGGAUAGGGAUAAGGACAAGGAUGGGAUGGGAAUGGGGAUAAUGGGGAUAAGGAUGGAGAUGGGAUGGGAAUGGGGAUAAAGAAGAUGGGAAUGGGGAUAAAGAGGAUGGGGAGGGGGACGGGGAUAAGGGUGAGGAUGGGAUGGAAAUGGGGAUAAGGACGGAAAUGGGGAUAGAGAUGGGAUGGGAAUAAGGAUGAGAGUGAGGAUGAAGAUGGGAUGGGAUGCAGAUAGGGACGGGGAUGGGGAUGAGGAUGAGGACAGGGACAGCUCUCCCAGGGUGACUCCCGCACUUGUUCCAUCCCCUGGGGAGCGCAGGGCUCUCAGGAAGCAAUCACAGCGCCCUGUGGGAUGGGGGUGUGUGGGGCUGGGGCAGCCCCGUCCCAGCUUUCCGCCCAUCGGGGCUGGCCUGGGAGGGAAAAUGAGUUUAAAACCGGGAAAAAAAAAAAAAAAAGGGAUUGACCCAGGACACACAUCCCCUAAAAUGAUUUUGUGGCGUCCCCAGGACAGGACAGCACUGCGCUGAUGGCUUUGGUGCAGCUUCUGCCCCCCUGGGAUUCUCUGUUGUCUACUAUAGGGUUGAGCUCGCCCUGCAGCCUGCCCUGGGGAGCUUGGUGAAAGCCUCCCUCUCCACACCCCCUCCCAAAACGCUGUCUGCAGUCCGUCCACGUGGGUGUCUGUCUGCGUGGUGCACGUCCGCACCCAGCACCUUCCCAGGGCAUGCAGCAAGCGGGUCCCCAGCUCAUCUGGG
Molecule: long non-coding RNA, 2195 nt
Organism: Anser cygnoides (Swan goose)
Lineage: Eukaryota; Metazoa; Chordata; Aves; Anseriformes; Anatidae
Source: Ensembl